This is a long non-coding RNA of Odontomachus brunneus, 781 nucleotides long. RefSeq lists it as uncharacterized. The transcript has 5 exons. Lineage: Eukaryota; Metazoa; Arthropoda; Insecta; Hymenoptera; Formicidae. The record is from RefSeq and is a predicted model, not a curated record.
CUCGGGAGUGUCGAGAUUAGCGAUGUGUGAUCGCCGGGGCGUAUCGUGAAGACGUUAUUUGAACGCGCACGAGCCGCUACUUCAAGAGGCCGUAAGUGAUGCUGGGUAAUAUCGCGGUGGUCAGCGAGCUUCCUUUUACGCGAGAACGCGCCAAGCAUCGCUGGUUCGCCAAGCUGGCUCUCGGAUAUCUGCGGGUGAAAGAACGACGAGAGUGACAUCGCGGAAGUCAUCGCGAGGAGGAAUCAUCGGGGGAUGUAGAGUUAGGAAUGCCGAGUGUCAUUAUUUCCCGCUUUCCCGUCCGUCGAGCUCCCGAAAGCGUUGAAUUAUGAAGAAAGACAUUUCAGAAUUAUGUAAUAUUUGAUUAUCUCAAUAUUUUACUUGCAUUUGAUUUUUAUUCUUAGUUUCAAUCAGCAGUGUUUUAAUUACGCGACUUACUGGAUGUGAAAUGAUUACAAUCUUUUUAUUACUUGUUUCAAUUGGCAUUGGAUAAUUCAUUUGGAGAUUCAAAACCAGCCAUAAAAUGAUUGGUACUCAUGGAUCGUUAUUUAGCUGUUUCGAGAUCAGUAUUUCUUGUUGCCUGAACUAAGAUAGACCAAACCGGAUUAUUCAUCAACUAUUUAUCAAAUGAUAAAGGAUUAUAAAUAUAUCUUGGCCUAAAUUUCAACUCAAAAUAUCUCUUUAUAUAUUCUCGAUAAGUUUAUUAAAUAUCCGUUAAAAUUGAACACAUAUCUCCUGUAUAAUGAAUUAUUUUACAUAUCUAGAAAUAUAUAAUGUAUGACUU